UACGUAGGGUGCGAGCGUUAAUCGGAAUUACUGGGCGUAAAGCGUGCGCAGGCGGCUUCGCAAGUCAGGCGUGAAAUCCCCGGGCUUAACCUGGGAAUGGCGUCUGAAACUGGCGAACUGGAGUGUGGCAGAGGGGGGUGGAAUUCCGCGUGUAGCAGUGAAAUGCGUAGAUAUGCGGAGGAACACCGAUGGCGAAGGCAAUCCCCUGGGCCUGCACUGACGCUCAUGCACGAAAGCGUGGGGAGCAAACAGG
Molecule: ribosomal RNA, 253 nt
Filed under: uncultured bacterium
Lineage: Bacteria
Description: partial 16S ribosomal RNA
Rfam family: Bacterial small subunit ribosomal RNA
Source: RNAcentral